This 102-nucleotide non-coding RNA is filed under the name Lutispora thermophila. RNAcentral's name for it is "TPP sequence". It matches the Rfam family "TPP riboswitch aptamer (THI element)". From Rfam's summary of the family: Vitamin B(1) in its active form thiamin pyrophosphate (TPP) is an essential coenzyme that is synthesised by coupling of pyrimidine and thiazole moieties in bacteria. The previously detected thiamin-regulatory element, thi box was extended, resulting in a new, highly conserved RNA secondary structure, the THI element, which is widely distributed in eubacteria and also occurs in some archaea. Lineage: Bacteria; Bacillati; Bacillota; Clostridia; Lutisporales; Lutisporaceae. The record is from RNAcentral. RNAcentral also lists the same sequence under 1 other name.
UAUGGGAGCUAGGGGUGCCGUAAGGCUGAGAGAGAUUUUAUAUCUUAACCCUUUGAACCUGAUGUGGUUAGGACCACCGUAGGGAAGCGCGAAUUAUAAUCG